Molecule: non-coding RNA, 1872 nt
Organism: Oryzias latipes (Japanese medaka)
Lineage: Eukaryota; Metazoa; Chordata; Actinopteri; Beloniformes; Adrianichthyidae
Source: RefSeq, a predicted model, not a curated record
AAAGGGACGCUACAUUAUUGUAUGGCUCUUUUGAAAUUACAUUUCAAAAUAUGUGGCGUUUAUGGCUCUCUUGGCCAAAAAGGUUCCCGACCCCUGGUCUAUGCCCUUGAAUAAAACUGCACUCUGUAAAUCAUUGUUUUAAAAUCCCACGAGUAAAUACAUUUACAAAUAGUGAUCUGUAGCUCAACUGAAGAAUGUCUAGUUCAGUGGGCUGCAAUCUUAAAUACUUUUUAAAAAAUGUUUUUCUAGCCACUAAACGAUUAUAUUAUUAAAUUUAGCUUUGAAAUAUUUAUAAGAAUUGGAUUUUACAGUAUUAUAUUUUUCUCUGUACAACAAUUUUGAAAGAACAUACAAUUUCCCUUCAAAAUAAAAUACAGCAAUUUUUUUUUGUUUAAAAAACAGAAAAAAAAGAACAAAACUUGAUUAUCUACAAAAAACUGACCAGAGUUCCAAAUCACUAUUCUGUCUACUUGUCAGUAUUUUUCCUUAAAGCUGUGGAGCAACAAUGGAGAGCUAAAGGAGCUGCAUGUGGCUCCAGAGCCUGAGGUUGCAGAACCGCGGUCUAGCCUGAAACAAGGAGAUCAAGACCUUGAGUCCACAGCAGGGACACCCAAAGAUCCUAAAAAGCUUCUACUUGACACUUAUUGAGGGGUCAUAUUCAGAAAUGGUUUCCGGCUGUGACUGCAGCCUUCUCUUCCCAGGUGUAGGUGAAAUGUCAAUCCAUUUUCCGAACCCACUCAAUCCCUUUUGAGGUCAUAAGGUUGCUGGAGCCAGUAGAAAAAUCAAAACUGCAUUUGUUUCAAUCCUGUCAGAACUGUCUGACACUGAGAUGGACUGGUGUACCCCACCAGGACAAAGGUGGGGUACACCAGGAACAGGACGUCCAUCUGUUGUAGGUUCAAACACUCACAUUCACACGUAGGGGCAAUUCAGAGACACCAAUUAACCUAUGAAGCAUGUUUUUGAACUGUGGGAGGAAGUGCUUGAAGAAAACCCAGAUGUACGAAGACAACAUGCAAACUCCACACAAGGACUCAGCCGGGAUUUGAACCAGGACCCUCUCGCUGUGAGUUAAGCAGACAGAAGAGGCCUUCACGAUGCACGAAAUGACACAUCUGAUGGUUCUUCUGGUUCUGGGUUCUGCCAGGACCCAACAAGUUCCAAUUGUCUUGCAGGAGAACUUUGAGUUAGAGAAGUUUAUGGGGAGGUGGUACGAAGUGGCGGUGGCGUCCACAUGCCCGCACUACAUGCAACGGAAAAGGGAAAACGCUGUGAUGGUUGCUUUGAAACUGGAGCAUGUCCCUUUUGGGAGCAACUUUACCAUGACAACCGCUACCUCAAGGAACAGCUCCUGCGUAGAGACCUCCACCAACUAUUUCCUCACUAACACUACAGGACGAUUCUUCCAUCACGUCUCUCGAUUCAGAGCAGACAUCGAUUCAUUUGUGCUUCACACUGAUGAAGAUGAUGGUUACACAGUGAUGCUGCAGCUGAGCACAGAGAAGCCAUCAGGAAACAAAACCAGUAUAAUCAAACUCUACAAUAUUUUGGGGGGAUUUCUAAAAAUGUAAUAGUUUAAAAGUUCAAUGGAAAAAAAGGCAUAUCUCAUUUAGGUCGAACUGCAGAUGUGAGUCCUACUGUUCUGCACCAGUUUCAAGCUCUGACCAGACUUUAUGGAAUGAGCGAUGACGCCAUUAUUAUCAACCAGAACAAAGGUGUGUGUUUUCCAGGUGAACAGAUGACCCGGCUGCAGGUUCCUGUUUCCCUUUGAGACUGAACACCUGAAAAUGCUUUUUUUCUUUUUGUUUAUCAAUCUGUUCUUUGUCAUAAAGAGCUGAUUUAUUAAAAAAAAAGAAUUGGAAACACCUGAAA